This 294-nucleotide unclassified non-coding RNA is filed under the name Callicarpa macrophylla. RNAcentral describes it as "partial external transcribed spacer". The record is from RNAcentral. Lineage: Eukaryota; Viridiplantae; Streptophyta; Magnoliopsida; Lamiales; Lamiaceae.
UGCUCGGGCAGCGACGACAUCGCAUCCGCGCCUCUUCAGUUGUUGGCUCAAGCGCUCGUUGGCCUUGGCCGACGUCGGUUUCCUGUGUUGAAUACCUAUCAAGAAGGCAUUUUGUUGGCUACGUUGUCCCUUUUCCGCCUCGUACUGCUGCGUCUGUCGGCGUUGUGGUGCGGGGUGGACCUCAAAGCGUGCGCCGUGUUCCGCACCCCGUGCACUUCAAUACGGGUGCUCGGGUUGUCGGCCCACGGCGCACUGCUCGGUCCCUCGGAUGCRGAACACCGAGUGGGUACGAGG